UCGCCAGACUCCUACGGGAGGCAGCAGUGAGGAAUAUUGGUCAAUGGGCGGGAGCCUGAACCAGCCAAGUCGCGUGAGGGAAGACGGUCCUACGGAUUGUAAACCUCUUUUGCCGGGGAGCAAGCGUGCGUUCGUGAACGCGCGUCGAGAGUACCCGGAGAAAAAGCAUCGGCUAACUCCGUGCCAGCAGCCGCGGUAAUACGGAGGAUGCGAGCGUUAUCCGGAUUUAUUGGGUUUAAAGGGUGCGUAGGCGGGCUUUUAAGUCAGCGGUAAAAAUUCGGGGCUCAACCCCGUCCGGCCGUUGAAACUGGGGGCCUUGAGUGGGCGAGAAGAAGGCGGAAUGCGUGGUGUAGCGGUGAAAUGCAUAGAUAUCACGCAGAACCCCGAUUGCGAAGGCAGCCUUCCGGCGCCCUACUGACGCUGAGGCACGAAAGUGCGGGGAUCGAACAGGAUUAGAUACCCUGGUA
RNAcentral lists this ribosomal RNA (467 nucleotides) under uncultured bacterium. RNAcentral describes it as "bacterial SSU rRNA". It matches the Rfam family "Bacterial small subunit ribosomal RNA", at positions 328 to 792 of the family's 1533-position model. The record is from RNAcentral.